Long non-coding RNA from Cygnus olor (mute swan), 689 nucleotides. RefSeq lists it as uncharacterized. The record is from RefSeq and is a predicted model, not a curated record. NCBI's taxonomy places the organism in Eukaryota, Metazoa, Chordata, Aves, Anseriformes, Anatidae. The transcript has 3 exons.
AGCUGCUAGGCAUGCAAGGGUAUAUAGGAUUUCCUUUAUGCAGGAGGUCCAGGUUGUGUGGUGCUCUAUCCCAGGGUCAUUGUUCAUACCUAAGCAGUGCAAUAAGGUGGCUUGGAAAAGAAACUAAAACAUGUAACAGCUGAUGUAAGGUUUCUGCACACCUGAAUCCUACAGAGCUACCUGUGGGGAGCAGGAGGAAUAAUCUAAUGUCUCUGCCUGCAGCACUGCUCGGAUUAAAGAUGGAAGUGAGGUGCCAGGCACCUAGAGCUGUGUAUAUAUGGCCAAGGGGAGGAAAGAAUACAAGGAUGCCUCAGGACACAGGACAGUCUCCAAUUAGUGGCUAGUUUUUCCUAUAUUACUUUCUUAGAUACUUUUAUUACUGGAAUGGGGAAAAUACAUGAGAGUGUUGAAAUGAAUAUAGACCGGAUUCAGAAGGUUAUACCUGAUUUUGUUGAGGUAAGGUUAGCUGGAAGAGCUUAGCAAUCCUAUACCUCAAUAGAAAAUAACUAUUUAGUUUUGAGGAACCGAUUAAUCACUUUGAUUUACUAAAAACUGUGCAGUUACUUCAGCUCUGCAGUCAGUAGCAAUGGAUUAAGCGUUGUACUAAGGAUGAAAACUAGCUUUCAUCAUAGACAGCUGGUGUGAUCCUGAACAUGGCAUAUUCUUGCUUGGUCUUAACCAGGUGAAUU